CCUACGAGUGGCAGCAGUGAGGAAUAUUGGUCAAUGGGCGCGAGCCUGAACCAGCUAAGUCGCGUGAAGGAUGACUGCCCUACGGGUUGUAAGCUUCUUUUAUAAAGGCAUAAAGUGAGGCACUAGUGCCUUUUUGUAUGUACUUUAUGAAUAAGGAUCGUCUAACUCCGUGCCAGCAGCCGCGGUAAUACGGAGGGUCCGAGCGUUAUCCGGAUUUAUUGGGUUUAAAGGGAGCGUAGAUGGGUUGUUAAGUCAGUUGUGAAAGUUUGCGGCUCAACCGUAAAAUUGCAAUUGAUACUGGCAGUCUUGAGUACAGUUGAGGUAGGCGGAAUUCGUGGUGUAGCGGUGAAAUGCUUAGAUAUCACGAAGAACUCCGAUUGCGAAGGCAGCUUACUAAACUGUGACUGACACUGAUGCUCGAAAGUGUGGGUAUCAAACAGGAUUAGAUACCCCUGUAGUC
RNAcentral lists this ribosomal RNA (460 nucleotides) under uncultured bacterium. RNAcentral describes it as "partial 16S ribosomal RNA". It matches the Rfam family "Bacterial small subunit ribosomal RNA", at positions 338 to 795 of the family's 1533-position model. The record is from RNAcentral.